AGUGAGUAGUGUUGGGGGCACGUGUUCCAUUUCUUGCCAAUGAGAUGCAAGGGGGAGUAUUCAGGGAAACUUCUAGGGAGUUUUUGGUUUCUUGAGACAGUAGUGGCAGACUCAGUUGUGGCUGCUCCCUCAUCCUGCCUGGAAUUUGCGUGUGAUACUUGGAACAGCAGCAGCCAUCUUGCAACCAUGAGCCAUCCUAGAGGGCGUGAAGUGGUUCCUCAGUGUGAUUUUGACUUGCAUUUCCUUGAUGACUAAUGACGGUAAGCUUCUUUUCAUGUGGUUAUUAGCCAUUCACAGAUCUUCUUUGCAGAACUGUCUAUUCAAAUUCUUUAUCCAUUUCUAAUGGAAUAUUUGUCUUUUUGGUGUUAA
This 369-nucleotide long non-coding RNA is filed under the name Mustela putorius furo (domestic ferret). Its description in RNAcentral is "lncRNA (ENSMPUG00000026101.1)". The record is from RNAcentral. Lineage: Eukaryota; Metazoa; Chordata; Mammalia; Carnivora; Mustelidae.